This 1404-nucleotide ribosomal RNA is filed under the name Vibrio sp. S6-61. RNAcentral's name for it is "bacterial SSU rRNA". It matches the Rfam family "Bacterial small subunit ribosomal RNA". The record is from RNAcentral. Lineage: Bacteria; Pseudomonadati; Pseudomonadota; Gammaproteobacteria; Vibrionales; Vibrionaceae.
GCAAGUCGAGCGGAAACGAGUUAUCUGAACCUUCGGGGAACGAUAACGGCGUCGAGCGGCGGACGGGUGAGUAAUGCCUAGGAAAUUGCCCUGAUGUGGGGGAUAACCAUUGGAAACGAUGGCUAAUACCGCAUGAUGCCUACGGGCCAAAGAGGGGGACCUUCGGGCCUCUCGCGUCAGGAUAUGCCUAGGUGGGAUUAGCUAGUUGGUGAGGUAAGGGCUCACCAAGGCGACGAUCCCUAGCUGGUCUGAGAGGAUGAUCAGCCACACUGGAACUGAGACACGGUCCAGACUCCUACGGGAGGCAGCAGUGGGGAAUAUUGCACAAUGGGCGCAAGCCUGAUGCAGCCAUGCCGCGUGUGUGAAGAAGGCCUUCGGGUUGUAAAGCACUUUCAGUCGUGAGGAAGGUAGUGUAGUUAAUAGCUGCAUUAUUUGACGUUAGCGACAGAAGAAGCACCGGCUAACUCCGUGCCAGCAGCCGCGGUAAUACGGAGGGUGCGAGCGUUAAUCGGAAUUACUGGGCGUAAAGCGCAUGCAGGUGGUUUGUUAAGUCAGAUGUGAAAGCCCGGGGCUCAACCUCGGAAUAGCAUUUGAAACUGGCAGACUAGAGUACUGUAGAGGGGGGUAGAAUUUCAGGUGUAGCGGUGAAAUGCGUAGAGAUCUGAAGGAAUACCGGUGGCGAAGGCGGCCCCCUGGACAGAUACUGACACUCAGAUGCGAAAGCGUGGGGAGCAAACACGAUUAGAUACCCUGGUAGUCCACGCCGUAAACGAUGUCUACUUGGAGGUUGUGGCCUUGAGCCGUGGCUUUCGGAGCUAACGCGUUAAGUAGACCGCCUGGGGAGUACGGUCGCAAGAUUAAAACUCAAAUGAAUUGACGGGGGCCCGCACAAGCGGUGGAGCAUGUGGUUUAAUUCGAUGCAACGCGAAGAACCUUACCUACUCUUGACAUCCAGAGAACUUUCCAGAGAUGGAUUGGUGCCUUCGGGAACUCUGAGACAGGUGCUGCAUGGCUGUCGUCAGCUCGUGUUGUGAAAUGUUGGGUUAAGUCCCGCAACGAGCGCAACCCUUAUCCUUGUUUGCCAGCGAGUAAUGUCGGGAACUCCAGGGAGACUGCCGGUGAUAAACCGGAGGAAGGUGGGGACGACGUCAAGUCAUCAUGGCCCUUACGAGUAGGGCUACACACGUGCUACAAUGGCGCAUACAGAGGGCGGCCAACUUGCGAAAGUGAGCGAAUCCCAAAAAGUGCGUCGUAGUCCGGAUUGGAGUCUGCAACUCGACUCCAUGAAGUCGGAAUCGCUAGUAAUCGUGGAUCAGAAUGCCACGGUGAAUACGUUCCCGGGCCUUGUACACACCGCCCGUCACACCAUGGGAGUGGGCUGCAAAAGAAGUAGGUAGUUUAACC